Molecule: ribosomal RNA, 523 nt
Filed under: marine bacterium GY27
Lineage: Bacteria; Pseudomonadati; Pseudomonadota; Gammaproteobacteria
Description: bacterial SSU rRNA
Rfam family: Bacterial small subunit ribosomal RNA
Source: RNAcentral
AGAGUUUGAUCAUGGCUCAGAUUGAACGCUGGCGGCAGGCCUAACACAUGCAAGUCGAACGGUAACAGGAAUUAGCUUGCUAAUUUGCUGACGAGUGGCGGACGGGUGAGUAAUGCUUGGGAACUUGCCUUUGCGAGGGGGACAACAGUUGGAAACGACUGCUAAUACCGCAUAACGUCUUCGGACCAAACGGGGCUUAGGCUCUGGCCCAAAGAGAGGCCCAAGUGAGAUUAGCUAGUUGGUGAGGUAAAGGCUCACCAAGGCGACGAUCUCUAGCUGUUCUGAGAGGAAGAUCAGCCACACUGGGACUGAGACACGGCCCAGACUCCUACGGGAGGCAGCAGUGGGGAAUAUUGCACAAUGGGGGAAACCCUGAUGCAGCCAUGCCGCGUGUGUGAAGAAGGCCUUCGGGUUGUAAAGCACCUUCAGUUGUGAGGAAGGGUUGUUGGUUAAUACCCAACAGCAUUGACGUUAGCAACAGAAGAAGCACCGGCUAACUCCGUGCCAGCAGCCGCGGUAAUAC